AGAGUUUGAUCAUGGCUCAGAGCGAACGCUGGCGGCAGGCUUAACACAUGCAAGUCGAGCGGGCAUAGCAAUAUGUCAGCGGCAGACGGGUGAGUAACGCGUGGGAACAUACCUUUUGGUUCGGAACAACACAGGGAAACUUGUGCUAAUACCGGAUAAGCCCUUACGGGGAAAGAUUUAUCGCCGAAAGAUUGGCCCGCGUCUGAUUAGCUAGUUGGUGAGGUAACGGCUCACCAAGGCGACGAUCAGUAGCUGGUCUGAGAGGAUGAUCAGCCACAUUGGGACUGAGACACGGCCCAAACUCCUACGGGAAGUAGCAGUGGGGAAUAUUGGACAAUGGGCGCAAGCCUGAUCCAGCCAUGCCGCGUGAGUGAUGAAGGCCCUAGGGUUGUAAAGCUCUUUUGUGCGGGAAGAUAAUGACGGUACCGCAAGAAUAAGCCCCGGCUAACUUCGUGCCAGCAGCCGCGGUAAUACGAAGGGGGCUAGCGUUGCUCGGAAUCACUGGGCGUAAAGGGUGCGUAGGCGGGUCUUUAAGUCAGGGGUGAAAUCCUGGAGCUCAACUCCAGAACUGCCUUUGAUACUGAGGAUCUUGAGUUCGGGAGAGGUGAGUGGAACUGCGAGUGUAGAGGUGAAAUUCGUAGAUAUUCGCAAGAACACCAGUGGCGAAGGCGGCUCACUGGCCCGAUACUGACGCUGAGGCACGAAAGCGUGGGGAGCAAACAGGAUUAGAUACCCUGGUAGACCACGCCGUAAACGAUGAAUGCCAGCCGUUAGUGGGUUUACUCACUAGUGGCGCAGCUAACGCUUUAAGCAUUCCGCCUGGGGAGUACGGUCGCAAGAUUAAAACUCAAAGGAAUUGACGGGGGCCCGCACAAGCGGUGGAGCAUGUGGUUUAAUUCGACGCAACGCGCAGAACCUUACCAGCCCUUGACAUCCCGGUCGCGGACUCCAGAGAUGGAGUCCUUCAGUUCGGCUGGACCGGAGACAGGUGCUGCAUGGCUGUCGUCAGCUCGUGUCGUGAGAUGUUGGGUUAAGUCCCGCAACGAGCGCAACCCCCGUCCUUAGUUGCUACCAUUUAGUUGAGCACUCUAAGGAGACUGCCGGUGAUAAGCCGCGAGGAAGGUGGGGAUGACGUCAAGUCCUCAUGGCCCUUAUGGGCUGGGCUACACACGUGCUACAAUGGCGGUGACAAUGGGACGCUAAGGGGCAACCCUUCGCAAAUCUCAAAAAGCCGUCUCAGUUCGGAUUGGGCUCUGCAACUCGAGCCCAUGAAGUUGGAAUCGCUAGUAAUCGUGGAUCAGCAUGCCACGGUGAAUACGUUCCCGGGCCUUGUACACACCGCCCGUCACACCAUGGGAGUUGGUUUUACCUGAAGACGGUGCGCUAACCCGCGAGGGAGGCAGCCGGCCACGGUAGGGUCAGCGACUGGGGUGAAGUCGUAACAAGGUA
This 1449-nucleotide ribosomal RNA is filed under the name metagenome. RNAcentral describes it as "bacterial SSU rRNA". It matches the Rfam family "Bacterial small subunit ribosomal RNA". The record is from RNAcentral.